This 2279-nucleotide long non-coding RNA is filed under the name Sorghum bicolor (sorghum). RNAcentral describes it as "long non-coding RNA (SBIC_LNC012531)". The record is from RNAcentral. Lineage: Eukaryota; Viridiplantae; Streptophyta; Magnoliopsida; Poales; Poaceae.
GGGCUUGCAACCGUCACUUGUGUCUUGAGCAGUUAGAAGAUAGAACGGUCAAGUCAAGCACCAUGUCUCUUGUUCUUUGAUCAACUAUAGCUCUAGAGUUUUUGUAGAUUUUCAAAUAAAACUCAGAGAUUCCUUGUAUGACUCUCUCUAGUCUCUCUUUUGUGGUAUUUCUGGAUCCUUACCAAGGCAGUGAUGAUAUAUGCCUUCUCUCAAAGUAUGUGGUAUUUGUGGUAUGAGGCAUAAUGAUAUUGCCUUCUCUCUCACCCUACUCUAACAAGGUUUUGAUAUCUGGAGCUCAUAGGUGGGAGAUAGCUAAUACAUACUUACAAGACAUUUAUUGCAUAGUCAAAUCAUGGAUCCAGAGAAACAAAUCAAUAAGUCAAAUCAAGAUGUGCAUGUGUGGCGAAUGAAUGGUGUAUGGUGAUGAUGGUGAAAACAAUGGUGAAAGUCUAAUUCUACUUUUGCUCUUUUGAGGGGAUACAUACCUUUCUUGCACUUUGAAGCUUUUUGAGUGGAAUGAGAUGCUCUCUAUUUCUUUUCUUUUCUCUCAGGUGGGUAUCUUGUACCCCUAAUUCUACUGUCGGACACUUGUCCAUUUUUACCUCUCGUCUCACUUUUUCUUUUCUUUCGAGGUUCCGGGCACUUGCCCCUUUUUAUUUCCUCGUAUUCACUCUUCUUCUUCUUUUUUUUCUCAGAGCACUCACCCUCCUAGAAUAAUGUAGCAAGUGGUAGUAACCAAAAUAUCUCGAGCAUUUAUUUCAUGGGGAAUAACAGGGAUAAGAUAAUGUUUUUGGCUAUUCUCUCCUGGAUAGGAGUAGAAUAUUUUUAGGUGAAUCUGGAGAUGGAAAGGAGUGGAUGUAUGUGGAUGCGUACUUCCGGAGUAGAAGCAGCAUGUAUGAGUGAACGUGCAAGUGAAUCUUGAUUUUAACCGCAUGACAAGUUCCUAAGGGUCUACACAGCUUGACCACACUCAAUGCUCAUAAGCAGUAAAAAGUAAAUGUAUGGUUCAUAGUCUAAUAAGCAUAUAUAUACGGCUGUGGUAGGAUUUUAAACUCUCAUCAUACAGGAACUCAUCAUGCAACAUUUUAAAGAUUUUCAAAGAUAAAAUUCUCCAGAAUUCUAGCAUCUCUAGGAACAGAUAAACAGCAACUCAACCUUCCCAUAUCAUAUCCGUUAACGACUUAGACUUUAGAUCAAGCACUCUUCCCACAAGUUCAGGUUUAGAGCAAAUCUUAAUUCAUAACAGUCAUACCUAAACUUGAGAGAGAUUUCACUUUUGAGAACUAGUCAUGGCAGAGCAACUAUUCAUCAUUUCCAUGUGAGAGCUUAUCAUGAGGGUUCAUAGCAAACUUUAUUUAUUUAUUUAUUUAGCAAACUAAGCAAAGAUAUAUAUAUAUAAGCAUAAAAUCUUUAUUUGGGUUUUUAUGAUUAUGCAUCUUUUUAUUAUUUGAGUAGAAACACUUAGCUGGAUAAAUGGGGGUGCUCUCCCCCAAGCUGGAUUUUGACGUAAUUUCUUCUGUAGCUAGCAGGUGACGGAGGUGUAUUUGAAUGUCGGCAGCACCCUGACAGCGAUUGGGAUGUCCUCCGUUUGCUAGUCUUCUUUGAUCCUUGAAUUCUGUGGAGCUCAAAUAGACAACAAAGCUUUGUGGAACCGGUUAAGUGUUAGCAUAAAUAUCUAGCCUUUAUCAUGUUGAUCCUCCUCAAUAAAUGUUACUCUCUUUAGUAGGAUCAUAAAUUUAUUUUUAUAUUUUCAUUUCUAUAGAAUAGGAAUAUAUUUAUUUUAUUUUUACGCCACCACAGUGAAUGUACUUAUGGAUUUUAUGCCUCAAGCAUACUCACAUGGGGCUUACUAUUUUUAACAUUUUUAUUUUCUUUUCAAGAUAGCAUGAUUAACUAACAAGCCAUUUAAGGAAAGUAAAUAACUAAAGGAGAAAGGGAAUGUAGAAAGGAUAAAUAUGGAUAAUUACCGAUUGUACCUUUCGGUGAGGGUUCAAUAUUUUAAGUCUUCUGAACAAGACUUCUCACCGUGUUCAUUCUUUAGGUGCGUCAUUUUAUUCAGGUGUGGACCUUGACGUCUGCACCUCUUGAUACGGUGUCACCCAUGUUCUUCGUUUGCCCAGCAGUUCGAAGUGUGGCGUUGGCAGCAUCCUGCUCAGUGUGUUUGUGCUUGUAGAUCCAGGUCUUUCACUUGGUGGAAUCUGGGAGUUAUAAAACUCCACCAUGUUUUGCUCCAAGUGUUCCUGCUCAUUUAGACAAGGCAGAGAUCAAGUGCAUGGGCC